This 266-nucleotide ribosomal RNA is filed under the name Escherichia coli. Its description in RNAcentral is "partial 16S ribosomal RNA". It matches the Rfam family "Bacterial small subunit ribosomal RNA", at positions 87 to 356 of the family's 1533-position model. Lineage: Bacteria; Pseudomonadati; Pseudomonadota; Gammaproteobacteria; Enterobacterales; Enterobacteriaceae. The record is from RNAcentral.
GCUGACGAGUGGCGGACGGGUGAGUAAUGUCUGGGAAACUGCCUGAUGGAGGGGGAUAACUACUGGAAACGGUAGCUAAUACCGCAUAACGUCGCAAGACCAAAGAGGGGGACCUUCGGGCCUCUUGCCAUCGGAUGUGCCCAGAUGGGAUUAGCUAGUAGGUGGGGUAACGGCUCACCUAGGCGACGAUCCCUAGCUGGUCUGAGAGGAUGACCAGCCACACUGGAACUGAGACACGGUCCAGACUCCUACGGGAGGCAGCAGUG